RNAcentral lists this ribosomal RNA (253 nucleotides) under uncultured bacterium. Its description in RNAcentral is "partial 16S ribosomal RNA". It matches the Rfam family "Bacterial small subunit ribosomal RNA", at positions 524 to 776 of the family's 1533-position model. The record is from RNAcentral.
UACGAAGGGGGCUAGCGUUGCUCGGAAUGACUGGGCGUAAAGGGCGCGUAGGCGGAUGGCACAGUCAGAUGUGAAAUUCCCGGGUUUAACCUGGGGGCUGCAUUUGAUACGUGUUGUCUAGAGUGAGGAAGAGGGUUGUGGAAUUCCCAGUGUAGAGGUGAAAUUCGUAGAUAUUGGGAAGAACACCGGUGGCGAAGGCGGCAACCUGGUCCUUGACUGACGCUGAGGCGCGAAAGCUAGGGGAGCAAACAGG